AAACCGCUCCUGCGCGCCGGCCCGUCCACCCCUGCAGACGCUGACUCCCUUCUCCUGGCGCCGAGUCUGGCUCGAGGGGCAGCACAUGGCGCCUCCAAGGGCUCAGCUGGGAGUCGGGAUUCGCAAGGCAGUAAAUCGAACUCAAAGGAAAGCUGUAUACCUGCACAAGUGGUGGCUGCCAUUGAUGUCAACACUGUCGCUAAUGAAGUAUACAAGUAUAAUUUUCCUCACACACAGUUACUUGCCAAGACAAUUGAAUUACAUACUGUAGAGUAAAUGAUAGCUACUGAAGACAGAGUGAUCCAUGAUAAAUAUCAUUAAUGCCUCUGAAGAAGAGAAUGACUCCAGUGGAACAAAAACUCUUAAUGAAAAUAGAUAAAAAUUUUUCUAGAAUGAAAUUUACAAUAUAACAUCCAUGAGCCCUUCUGGAACAGAUGACUGCAUCACUUCAUCUAGCUGAGGAAGAGAUGAAUCAAAGUAGAAAACCCAGGAGUGAAGCUGCCAUGUUAGGGGGAAAACUAUGGUUAGAAAAUAGGUGAAAAUGUUGUAAAGCUUUGCAGUGUAGAAAUAAUAAUGUAAUCGCAGUGGGAAGAGGCAGUGAGACACAAAAAAUAUGUCUUUGCAGAUAAAUGAAACUAUCAAUUUUUUAGGACAUUAUUCAGUGUUAUUGUAAGGGUCUCAGCAGAGAUGGGAAAGAGAAAGCUCAGCUGUCAAGAGUGUUAUAGUA
This 727-nucleotide small RNA is filed under the name Pongo abelii (Sumatran orangutan). RNAcentral's name for it is "processed transcript". Lineage: Eukaryota; Metazoa; Chordata; Mammalia; Primates; Hominidae. The record is from RNAcentral.